GUGCCAGCAGCCGCGGUAAUACGUAGGGUGCGAGCGUUGUCCGGAAUUACUGGGCGUAAAGGGCUCGUAGGUGGUUUGUCGCGUCGUCUGUGAAAUUCCGGGGCUUAACUCCGGGCGUGCAGGCGAUACGGGCAUAACUUGAGUACUGUAGGGGUAACUGGAAUUCCUGGUGUAGCGGUGAAAUGCGCAGAUAUCAGGAGGAACACCGAUGGCGAAGGCAGGUUACUGGGCAGUUACUGACGCUGAGGAGCGAAAGCAUGGGU
This 263-nucleotide ribosomal RNA is filed under the name uncultured Actinomycetales bacterium. Its description in RNAcentral is "partial 16S ribosomal RNA". It matches the Rfam family "Bacterial small subunit ribosomal RNA", at positions 505 to 766 of the family's 1533-position model. The record is from RNAcentral. Lineage: Bacteria; Bacillati; Actinomycetota; Actinomycetes; Actinomycetales.